GCACGCAUCUGUUGAAAAGAGCAGAAGACCACCGCAUUUCCAGAAGCUGGGUUUAUGAUUGAGUCCACUGAACGUUAAGAUCGAGAAGGAAUUCUGCAGGAUCACACUGAAGCUAUUGCAGUCCACAUUCCUGGGCAAGUUGGAGCAACACACACCCAAGCUGUUGCCUGUACAGGAGGAAGGGUGGAGCCGUUGGGAAGAAACUUGAUGAGACCCUUGACAUGUUAAAUGAGGCAUGUAUUUACAACAGUGUGGUAGUAAUUAGUUGACGACACAAUUGAGUCGCGAAGAGAAGUUGUGAUCAGAGGACUCACACUCUACCUUGGUGAAUACACUGGAGAGUUAACGAAGGACUACCAGGUUAUUAAUGACGA
Molecule: long non-coding RNA, 374 nt
Organism: Alosa alosa (allis shad)
Lineage: Eukaryota; Metazoa; Chordata; Actinopteri; Clupeiformes; Clupeidae
Exons: 4
Source: RefSeq, a predicted model, not a curated record